CCUGAUGCAGCGACGCCGCGUGAGUGAAGGAUGUUUCCGUGUGGUAAGCUCUAUUCACCGGGAACAACGGGAGGCAACUCCUUUGACGGUACCUGACUGUAAGCCCCGGCUAACUACGUGCCAGCAGCCGCGGUAAUAAU
This 140-nucleotide ribosomal RNA is filed under the name uncultured Clostridium sp. Its description in RNAcentral is "partial 16S ribosomal RNA". It matches the Rfam family "Bacterial small subunit ribosomal RNA", at positions 382 to 526 of the family's 1533-position model. The record is from RNAcentral. Lineage: Bacteria; Bacillati; Bacillota; Clostridia; Eubacteriales; Clostridiaceae.